ACCAUUGUACCUGCUAACAGCAUUGUUGUUGUAAGUAUUGUACCUGUUAUUGUGAGCAUUGUAAUUUUUGUUGUUGUUGUUGUUGUUGUAGGAGUAUUUGUCAUUGGCAGCAUCGUUGUUGUAGUUGUUCUGAUAGGAGUUGUGAUACUUGUUGUUGUAUCCUUCUUCUGUGUACUUUGUGUCACUUAACUCAUAUUGGUUACCCUCAUAAGAAUCCUUGUUGUAAUACUUGUUGUUGUUGUUGUUGUAACUGGUUUCGGAGAACCUUGUGUUAUAGGCAUCAUUGUUGUAGUACUUGUUGUUGGAGUUCUCAAACUUGGUCUUGUAGGGGUGGUAAGAAGUCGGGGUGGUGGAGGGGACUUGGUUAGACUCAUC
This 375-nucleotide long non-coding RNA is filed under the name Glycine max (soybean). RNAcentral's name for it is "long non-coding RNA (GMAX_LNC003355)". Lineage: Eukaryota; Viridiplantae; Streptophyta; Magnoliopsida; Fabales; Fabaceae. The record is from RNAcentral.